GUUCACUUCGGCAGCACACAGACUAAAAUCGGAAAGAUACAGAGAAGAUCCGCAUGGCCCCUGCGCAGGGAUGACACGCAAAGUCGUGAAGCGUUCCAUAUUUUA
Peromyscus eremicus (cactus mouse) is the source of this 105-nucleotide small nuclear RNA. The record is from RefSeq and is a predicted model, not a curated record. Lineage: Eukaryota; Metazoa; Chordata; Mammalia; Rodentia; Cricetidae.